RNAcentral lists this long non-coding RNA (232 nucleotides) under Hordeum vulgare. Its description in RNAcentral is "long non-coding RNA (HVUL_LNC004800)". The record is from RNAcentral. Lineage: Eukaryota; Viridiplantae; Streptophyta; Magnoliopsida; Poales; Poaceae.
ACGAAUGUGACGGCCAACAGCAGUGGCCAAAGUUUGAUACAAAUACCACUCGGCAUACCGAGGUUAAGUUUUUCAAGCGUCGUCAGGACUGGCGGGCUCCACGAAAGUGUCGAGGUCGAUCCCGUCUGCGAUGCGAGUGGCGCUCUCAAGGAAGGUCUCCAUGAAAUCUUCGAAUCGAAGCUUCUUGGUGUUGGCGACCUGCAACGCUUUCAACUUCUCUUCGCGAGCUACC